AAUGAACGUUGGCGGCGUGGAUUAGGCAUGCAAGUCGAGCGAGAAGGGUCUGGUAGCUUGCUAUUGGGCCUGGAAAGCGGCGAAAGGGAGAGUAACGCGUAGUUACGUGCCCCAGGGUUCGGAAUAGCCACGGGAAACUGUGGGUAAUGCCGAAUAACAUCUCCGGAUCAAAGGUGUGAUUCCGCCCUGGGAGCGGACUGCGUCCUACUAGCUAGUUGGCGGGGUAAUGGCCCACCAAGGCAACGAUGGGUAGCGGGUGUGAGAGCAUGACCCGUCUCACUGGGACUGAGACACUGCCCAGACACCUACGGGUGGCUGCAGUCGAGAAUCUUCGGCAAUGGGCGAAAGCCUGACCGAGCGACGCCGCGUGCGGGAUGAAGGCCCUCGGGUUGUAAACCGCUGUCGUAGGGGAGGAAGGCUCCGUGAAGAGCGGGGUUUGACCUAUCCUAGGAGGAAGUACGGGCUAAGUUCGUGCCAGCAGCCGCAGUAACAC
RNAcentral lists this ribosomal RNA (493 nucleotides) under uncultured bacterium. Its description in RNAcentral is "bacterial SSU rRNA". It matches the Rfam family "Bacterial small subunit ribosomal RNA", at positions 28 to 526 of the family's 1533-position model. The record is from RNAcentral.